This is a long non-coding RNA of Apis mellifera (honey bee), 4235 nucleotides long. RefSeq lists it as uncharacterized. The transcript has 8 exons. NCBI's taxonomy places the organism in Eukaryota, Metazoa, Arthropoda, Insecta, Hymenoptera, Apidae. The record is from RefSeq and is a predicted model, not a curated record.
AAUAAACUUGCACUUUUAUUAAUUCCUUUUCUGAAUAAUUCGAUGAAAUUAUAAAAUUAAUUGAAACUAAACUAAUCAUACAGGUUAUUAAUUCAUUGAAAUCUGCCAUAUUACUAUUGACAUAUCGGUAUGUACUAUUGUACAUAUUACCAAAAAUAUCCCUUUGCGUAAAUGUAAAAUUCCCCAGGCGGAACUGGAAUGAAGUCAUGCACAGAUCGACAUAACGGCGUCGUUUCUAUGACACCUUGAUCUUUUCUGCGCUAGUGCCAAGUGGAGCGUCUAUAUUUACCGAACACACGCGAGCACGCGCGCGCCGUAGCAAGUUUCUGCACGCUAGUGGAUAAUGUUGGUGGAUUAAAUAAACCGUCGGAUUAAAUAGCAUCGCUGCAUUUCGCUCUUUCGUGGCACGAGGACUGUCCGGCAAAUAGGUCGACCACAGGCAUUCAAUCUUGGAAGAAGUGAAGUACCGUAUCGUCGACAAUUUUUCUUUCGGUCAACGGACACCAUUUUAUAUUUAGAACGGGUAUGGUCGCGACGGUAACUUUUCGUUACGCCGGUUGUUUUGUCUGAAAUUCGCGUGACGCAAACGCAUUAUUCGCGCGUGUUUCUGCCAUUCCUGCAUCGACUGAGCGAUAACUCGAUAAUAUUUCGUUGUGACUUCGCUGCCACCGAGAUAUUACUGGAAGAUUGAUCGAUGAAAAGAGAAAUUUACGGAUUCGGGAAGAUAAAUUAAUUGUCGCGGAAGAGUAUAACGUUUCGAUGAAAGAAGCGAGGUGAAGGGAGGAGAGAGUGGGAAAGGAAGAAGGGAAGAAUAGAAAUUGAUCGAGGAUGCUCCGUACACUUCCAUCCUCCGCACUCCUCGCUUGAGGGCUUUUUAUUGCAAGCUCUAUUGUAAAAAAAACCAUGGAGGAGCCACGGUUGCGGCCAGUCGUAAUAAAUAUUUUACGUUCUCGCAAUCGUUUUACUGCUAUUGGGAUAUCCUGAACGCGGUAAACCACCCGCGGGAUUUCGGCCUUUUUCCUUUUGCUCCUCCAAUCGCGUAUCCCUUUCGAAGAAUGAGCGCCUAUAAUCUUCCCCCUCUACUCGAGUCGCGCUCAAACAGAUAUCCUCGAGGAAUUUUCUGGUCGUCCAAAAAAAAAAAAAGAAAAAAUUGCAAGACAUCACUCGGUUUGCUAACAUUUAAAUUUAGAAUUCAGGUUUUCGUGUCCGUAAAUAAAUAAAGAUUCGUGUUCUUUUUUAUACCGGUCUUCAUAAAUCUCGCAAAUUGUCGAAGCAUUUCUGUUUCCAUUUCUGCGUCAUCUUGCAGGUAAAAAUAAACCAUCGAACGCGUAACGUUAACAGGAUAGAUGGUGAAAAAUUUAACUUUCCUUCGCUCUCGAGAUCGUUCAAUUUGGAAUGUUGCAAUCUCUAUCGGUAUCGGUGAUUCAAGUUUCCACAAGAUUCCAGGAUCUCAAGAAUUCAAUCGUUACACCAGACUCGUACUACACUGAUCAAUAUAAUUUCCAUCGAAAUUAAACGAAGGUUAUAUAAAUCGGUCGAGUUUUUAUCGACAACAGGCUUCGAACGAAUCGUCGGACGAAGAUGUCCAUUUUCUUUCUUCCGCGCGGACAUUUUCUUUCUCCGGCGAGUGUCGCGCCGAUCGAGGCGAGAGGUGCGCAUGUGCAAACAAGACAAGAGUGUUGUCGACUCUUCGAUGCCAACUAACGGGAUCUGUAGUGAUCAAGUGGGUCAGACGAGCUCGAUCCCGACUCGGUCCCUUCGCCGGUCGGCCAUCUCGUCACGCGGAUAUUUCAAGGUUAUGUUGCUUCUCGAUAUCGUUAUUUUGAAGAAACUUGUCAAUUAUUAGAGAUGCUUGGUUAUGUUGCUUCUCGAUAUCGUUAUUUUGAAGAAACUUGUCAAUUAUUAGAGAUGCCUGGUGCAAAUAAAUAUCUAUUGAUCCAAAUUGAUGGAAUUCAGAUUGACGAGGGUGAAAUUUGGUUAGAAAUUUAAUUGGAAAGAAGAGGGAUCAGGGAGAAGAGGUUGUCUAAGCUCGCCAAGUUUUGGAUCGGAGGGAAACUUUGAUUCGCUCUUGAGAGUAGAGUUCACGAUAGUGGUAUACUUGUUGUUUUCGCGAUUAAUUCGAAGAUAAUAUUCUCCCAGUGCAGAAAAUAAUAUCUCUUUUGAUAUUAAGAAUUUCGUAAUAAUUUUCACGAGAUGAAUGAUCGAAACCGAGAGUCGAUUCUUUUUUUCUUUUUUUUUAUAUUGUUACGCGAUUUCGAUUUAACGGCGAAUUAACGGACAUAUUCUUGCGUCUCGAUUUCUAUUCUUCCGUUUAAACAACGGAAUAGAAAUUCACUCGAUGCAAUUCCAUUUUGAAAAUUUAUCUAUUCAAUUAAUUUUAAAUUUCGUAAUUUCAAUAAGAAUGAAAUUACGUACGUGUAAUUAUUUAACCCGUUACUUUUCCGGAUAAUAUUAACAGAUCCACCAGUUUUAGUCGAUUAUUGUUGCAUCAAAAAGAAUUAUUCGAUCAUUUAACAAAGAUCUGUAAUUAUUUAAUCAUAUUUCUUGGAUUCAUAAAAUAUAUUAUUCCUCUCCCGUACGAAAAUAUCAGAUUAAUUCAAAGCAUAAUUAAUUUAAAUCGAUUUUAAAAAUUUCUGCCCAAUUCUUCAUUCACUUUUUACGCUUUUUCGAGAAAAGAAUUCGAACUUCGUUUUGAAGCGAAGAUAGUCGUUCGCGUUUCGCCUGAAUUGAUCGAAUCACGCGUCGAUUUUGCCGAAUUAAUGAUCAGUUUUAUGUUGUAACAAUAAUGUAAAAAUUAAUUGGAAAAUUAUAUAUACAUUAUUAUAAAAUAUUACGAUAUAAUAUAUUAUUAUAUUAUUAUGUAUUAAUAUAUUAUAUCAUACAAUUGUAAUAGAAAAUUAUGUAUAUAUAAAUUAUUUUUUUUUUGUGUGAUGAAAAGCCAAAAAAUCUCUUUCUAGCUGUUCGAUUAAUUUCAUCUCGAUGGAUUUUUAUGUUAUAAGCAAUUACGUGAUCCAAGAAAAUUGAUUAUUAAUUGAUCUCUAUUUUUUUCCCCCUUUUUAAGAUUUUGAAGCUUCAGUUUUGCAUUUUUACCUGUGCAUCGAUUUACACAUUCGAUCGAUAUUUCCAUUUUUUUUUUCAAAGUUGAAUCCUUUUUCCUUUUUUCUUUCGAUUAGAUUCAUCUUCAUCAAUUUAUUCAAGAUUAAAUUUUUGAAUAUCUAUUUCGUUCUUCAGAACAAUUUCGGAAAAUAAAUUUUUUUCAGCUUUAAAUUACAACUUUCGUCGUGUUACAAAUGGAGGAGAGAGGGGAGAAGAGGAAAAAAUUAAGGUAACGUAAUUAUAUCAUCGCGAAUGGCUGGUUCCUUCGACUUAAUUGCAAACGAACGAACGAACCGUGAAUCUUCUCCUCUAAGAAAAUUAAUCUUGACAAAACUGAAGUUGGGAAAACACUGCACAAAUUUUUGUCCGGUUCGAGGAUGAUGGAAUAACCUCUCUUAUUUUCACCAGAUUCCAUUUCCUUCUCCUUUUCUUCUUCCUCUUCCUUGGAGAAGAAUUUAUCGAAGCAUGUUCCGUGAUAAAUCGUAAUGUCGAAUCGCGCGAUUAUUAUAAUAAUAAGAAUAAUCAAGUUUGCAGAGUUUGCAGCAACGAAUUUAUUUUUUUUCUUUUAUAAUUUCAAUCCCUGUCUUAUAAUUUAUCUCAUCUAUCUAAUUUCCCUUGCAUUUAACAAGUUUAGAGAGAUUAAAAACCACUAAAAAUUACUCUUACUCGGUGAAGAAAAUUACGAGGAAAGCGAAACAAGUAAGCCAGAAUAACCUCAAAUUUAUUUCCACUCGACUCGUCGCGUCGGACGUUAAACGUCUCAUCGUGAAGAAGAGUGGGGGAAGAGAGAGAGAGGGCAGAAUCAUCGAAAGUGACGGUGGAGGGGGAAUAGAAAGAGCUCGAGCUAUUUGGAAAUCCAACGAUUUUCGGUCGUGGUUACACUCCUCCUUCCAAGAAGGAUAGACGAUCCGGCGGAGAAGAGAUCGUCGCGAUAGCGAUUUUCGUUGGCCGCGAUCCAACGCAACCGAGGACUCGUCCAGUUUAUAAGGGGCGUCCCGUUUUCUCAAACCCAUCUCUCUCGCGCUUUUUUGGUUAAUGCUUCUCGAGAACGACUCGGUUUCAAGGAUAGGAAUUUAAACGGUUUCUUAUCUCGCGAAAAAAUAAAGAAAGAAGAAGUUCGAUCUUGUUUGUUCGACGAA